CUGGAGGUAUCAGAAGUGCGAAUGCUGACAUAAGUAACGAUAAAGCGGGUGAAAAGCCCGCUCGCCGGAAGACCAAGGGUUCCUGUCCAACGUUAAUCGGGGCAGGGUGAGUCGACCCCUAAGGCGAGGCCGAAAGGCGUAGUCGAUGGGAAACGGGUUAAUAUUCCCGUACUUGGUGUUACUGCGAAGGGGGGACGGAGAAGGCUAUGUUGGCCGGGCGACGGUUGUCCCGGUUUAAGCGUGUAGGUGUGUGUUCCAGGUAAAUCCGGUUCACUUUAACACUGAGGCGUGAUGACGAGGCACUACGGUGCUGAAGCAACAAAUGCCCUGCUUCCAGGAAAAGCCUCUAAGCAUCAGGUAACAUCAAAUCGUACCCCAAACCGACACAGGUGGUCAGGUAGAGAAUACCAAGGCGCUUGAGAGAACUCGGGUGAAGGAACUAGGCAAAAUGGUGCCGUAACUUCGGGAGAAGGCACGCUGACAUGUAGGUGAAGUGAUUUACUCAUGGAGCUGAAGUCAGUCGAAGAUACCAGCUGGCUGCAACUGUUUAUUAAAAACACAGCACUGUGCAAACACGAAAGUGGACGUAUACGGUGUGACGCCUGCCCGGUGCCGGAAGGUUAAUUGAUGGGGUCAGCGCAAGCGAAGCUCCUGAUCGAAGCCCCGGUAAACGGCGGCCGUAACUAUAACGGUCCUAAGGUAGCGAAAUUCCUUGUCGGGUAAGUUCCGACCUGCACGAAUGGCGUAAUGAUGGCCAGGCUGUCUCCACCCGAGACUCAGUGAAAUUGAACUCGCUGUGAAGAUGCAGUGUACCCGCGGCAAGACGGAAAGACCCCGUGAACCUUUACUAUAGCUUGACACUGAACAUUGAGCCUUGAUGUGUAGGAUAGGUGGGAGGCUUUGAAGUGUGGACGCCAGUCUGCAUGGAGCCGACCUUGAAAUACCACCCUUUAAUGUUUGAUGUUCUAACGUGGACCCGUAAUCCGGGUUGCGGACAGUGUCUGGUGGGUAGUUUGACUGGGGCGGUCUCCUCCUAAAGAGUAACGGAGGAGCACGAAGGUUGGCUAAUCCUGGUCGGACAUCAGGAGGUUAGUGCAAUGGCAUAAGCCAGCUUGACUGCGAGCGUGACGGCGCGAGCAGGUGCGAAAGCAGGUCAUAGUGAUCCGGUGGUUCUGAAUGGAAGGGCCAUCGCUCAACGGAUAAAAGGUACUCCGGGGAUAACAGGCUGAUACCGCCCAAGAGUUCAUAUCGACGGCGGUGUUUGGCACCUCGAUGUCGGCUCAUCACAUCCUGGGGCUGAAGUAGGUCCCAAGGGUAUGGCUGUUCGCCAUUUAAAGUGGUACGCGAGCUGGGUUUAGAACGUCGUGAGACAGUUCGGUCCCUAUCUGCCGUGGGCGCUGGAGAACUGAGGGGGGCUGCUCCUAGUACGAGAGGACCGGAGUGGACGCAUCACUGGUGUUCGGGUUGUCAUGCCAAUGGCACUGCCCGGUAGCUAAAUGCGGAAGAGAUAAGUGCUGAAAGCAUCUAAGCACGAAACUUGCCCCGA
RNAcentral lists this ribosomal RNA (1546 nucleotides) under Salmonella enterica. Its description in RNAcentral is "partial 23S ribosomal RNA". It matches the Rfam family "Bacterial large subunit ribosomal RNA", at positions 1273 to 2802 of the family's 2925-position model. The record is from RNAcentral. Lineage: Bacteria; Pseudomonadati; Pseudomonadota; Gammaproteobacteria; Enterobacterales; Enterobacteriaceae. RNAcentral also lists the same sequence under 1 other name.